RNAcentral lists this ribosomal RNA (1434 nucleotides) under Staphylococcus aureus. Its description in RNAcentral is "bacterial SSU rRNA". It matches the Rfam family "Bacterial small subunit ribosomal RNA". Lineage: Bacteria; Bacillati; Bacillota; Bacilli; Caryophanales; Staphylococcaceae. The record is from RNAcentral.
CUGCUAUACAUGCAGUCGAGCGAACGGACGAGAAGCUUGCUUCUCUGAUGUUAGCGGCGGACGGGUGAGUAACACGUGGAUAACCUACCUAUAAGACUGGGAUAACUUCGGGAAACCGGAGCUAAUACCGGAUAAUAUUUUGAACCGCAUGGUUCAAAAGUGAAAGACGGUCUUGCUGUCACUUAUAGAUGGAUCCGCGCUGCAUUAGCUAGUUGGUAAGGUAACGGCUUACCAAGGCAACGAUGCAUAGCCGACCUGAGAGGGUGAUCGGCCACACUGGAACUGAGACACGGUCCAGACUCCUACGGGAGGCAGCAGUAGGGAAUCUUCCGCAAUGGGCGAAAGCCUGACGGAGCAACGCCGCGUGAGUGAUGAAGGUCUUCGGAUCGUAAAACUCUGUUAUUAGGGAAGAACAUAUGUGUAAGUAACUGUGCACAUCUUGACGGUACCUAAUCAGAAAGCCACGGCUAACUACGUGCCAGCAGCCGCGGUAAUACGUAGGUGGCAAGCGUUAUCCGGAAUUAUUGGGCGUAAAGCGCGCGUAGGCGGUUUUUUAAGUCUGAUGUGAAAGCCCACGGCUCAACCGUGGAGGGUCAUUGGAAACUGGAAAACUUGAGUGCAGAAGAGGAAAGUGGAAUUCCAUGUGUAGCGGUGAAAUGCGCAGAGAUAUGGAGGAACACCAGUGGCGAAGGCGACUUUCUGGUCUGUAACUGACGCUGAUGUGCGAAAGCGUGGGGAUCAAACAGGAUUAGAUACCCUGGUAGUCCACGCCGUAAACGAUGAGUGCUAAGUGUUAGGGGGUUUCCGCCCCUUAGUGCUGCAGCUAACGCAUUAAGCACUCCGCCUGGGGAGUACGACCGCAAGGUUGAAACUCAAAGGAAUUGACGGGGACCCGCACAAGCGGUGGAGCAUGUGGUUUAAUUCGAAGCAACGCGAAGAACCUUACCAAAUCUUGACAUCCUUUGACAACUCUAGAGAUAGAGCUUUCCCCUUCGGGGGACAAAGUGACAGGUGGUGCAUGGUUGUCGUCAGCUCGUGUCGUGAGAUGUUGGGUUAAGUCCCGCAACGAGCGCAACCCUUAAGCUUAGUUGCCAUCAUUAAGUUGGGCACUCUAAGUUGACUGCCGGUGACAAACCGGAGGAAGGUGGGGAUGACGUCAAAUCAUCAUGCCCCUUAUGAUUUGGGCUACACACGUGCUACAAUGGACAAUACAAAGGGCAGCGAAACCGCGAGGUCAAGCAAAUCCCAUAAAGUUGUUCUCAGUUCGGAUUGUAGUCUGCAACUCGACUACAUGAAGCUGGAAUCGCUAGUAAUCGUAGAUCAGCAUGCUACGGUGAAUACGUUCCCGGGUCUUGUACACACCGCCCGUCACACCACGAGAGUUUGUAACACCCGAAGCCGGUGGAGUAACCUUUUAGGAGCUAGCCGUCGAAG